GAUGAACGCUGGCGGCGUGCCUAAUACAUGCAAGUCGAGCGAACAGACGAGGAGCUUGCUCCUCUGACGUUAGCGGCGGACGGGUGAGUAACACGUGGAUAACCUACCUAUAAGACUGGGAUAACUUCGGGAAACCGGAGCUAAUACCGGAUAAUAUAUUGAACCACAUGGUUCAAUAGUGAAAGACGGUUUUGCUGUCACUUAUAGAUGGAUCCGCGCCGCAUUAGCUAGUUGGUAAGGUAACGGCUUACCAAGGCGACGAUGCGUAGCCGACCUGAGAGGGUGAUCGGCCACACUGGAACUGAGACACGGUCCAGACUCCUACGGGAGGCAGCAGUAGGGAAUCUUCCGCAAUGGGCGAAAGCCUGACGGAGCAACGCCGCGUGAGUGAUGAAGGUCUUCGGAUCGUAAAACUCUGUUAUUAGGGAAGAACAAAUGUGUAAGUAACUAUGCACGUCUUGACGGUACCUAAGCAGAAAGCCACGGCUAACUACGU
Molecule: ribosomal RNA, 496 nt
Filed under: uncultured bacterium
Lineage: Bacteria
Description: partial 16S ribosomal RNA
Rfam family: Bacterial small subunit ribosomal RNA
Source: RNAcentral